This 785-nucleotide ribosomal RNA is filed under the name Bordetella bronchiseptica. RNAcentral describes it as "bacterial SSU rRNA". It matches the Rfam family "Bacterial small subunit ribosomal RNA", at positions 34 to 810 of the family's 1533-position model. The record is from RNAcentral. Lineage: Bacteria; Pseudomonadati; Pseudomonadota; Betaproteobacteria; Burkholderiales; Alcaligenaceae.
CUCCGUCCUUAGGCCUAGCACAUGCAGUCGAACGGCAGCACAGGAGAGCUUGCUCUCUGGGUGGCGAGUGGCGGACGGGUGAGGAAUACAUCGGAAUCUACUCUGUCGUGGGGGAUAACGUAGGGAAACUUACGCUAAUACCGCAUACGACCUACGGGUGAAAGCAGGGGACCUUCGGGCCUUGCGCGAUUGAAUGAGCCGAUGUCGGAUUAGCUAGUUGGCGGGGUAAAGGCCCACCAAGGCGACGAUCCGUAGCUGGUCUGAGAAGAUGAUCAGCCACACUGGAACUGAGACACGGUCCAGACUCCUACGGGAGGCAGCAGUGGGGAAUAUUGGACAAUGGGCGCAAGCCUGAUCCAGCCAUACCGCGUGGGUGAAGAAGGCCUUCGGGUUGUAAAGCUCUUUUGUUGGGAAAGAAAUCCAGCUGGCUAAUACCCGGUUGGGAUGACGGUACCCAAAGAAUAAGCACCGGCUAACUUCGUGCCAGCAGCCGCGGUAAUACGAAGGGUGCAAGCGUUACUCGGAAUUACUGGGCGUAAAGCGUGCGUAGGUGGUCGUUUAAGUCCGUUGUGAAAGCCCUGGGCUCACCUGGGAACUGCAGGGAUACUGGGCGACUAGAAUGUGGUAGAGGGUAGCGGAAUUCCUGGUGUAGCAGUGAAAUGCGUAGAGAUCAGGAGGAACAUCCAUGGCGAAGGCAGCUACCUGGGACCACAUUGACGCUGAGGCACGAAAGCGUGGGGGAGCAACAGGAUUAGAUACCCUGGUUAGUCCACGCCCUUAACGAU